UUUCAAUGAUGAGAACCUUUACCAGUUCUGCUGCUGAAUGUUGGUGAUGCUAUUUCAGGUCUGAGAAGG
Small nucleolar RNA from Engraulis encrasicolus (European anchovy), 69 nucleotides. The record is from RefSeq and is a predicted model, not a curated record. NCBI's taxonomy places the organism in Eukaryota, Metazoa, Chordata, Actinopteri, Clupeiformes, Engraulidae.